This is a long non-coding RNA of Nothobranchius furzeri (turquoise killifish), 1691 nucleotides long. RefSeq lists it as uncharacterized. Lineage: Eukaryota; Metazoa; Chordata; Actinopteri; Cyprinodontiformes; Nothobranchiidae. The record is from RefSeq and is a predicted model, not a curated record.
ACACACACACACACAUGCAAAAUAUACUUGUUUUCAAGUAAAUUUAUUGGGCCCACUUACUUUUUCUUUGGCCCACCCACAAAUGAGUUUCUGGCUACGCUAAUGGUGACAUAUGACAGACUUCUCUGAGCUCCGCAGCCAUUACACUUUUCAUCUCGCGCACCCCCUAGCGGCAGCUCUCGCACCCCCAGGGGUGCGCGCACCACACUCAGGCAAUCCCUGAGCUAGAGGAACAACAACUGUUAUUAGAGCACAGCGAGAAUGAUGAAGGAAGAGGUGUCGGUGGAGUGUCCGUCCAUUGCAUUGUCAACCAUCACGCUGUUUGCAUUUUUUAAGGGAAGCUAUGUCGUGCCGAAAACGACGUUGGGUUGUUUGGCUGACCAAUAACAGACGUCCAGCAUACAACGCGGCCGUCGGAUGUUUAGAAAAUAUAGCUCGACUUCAACCGACAGUCCAACAGUGUUGGAUUGCCCAUACGAUGUCGCAUCAUGGCGAUCCAACAGAUCCGGCAUGCUGGAGCAGUGCCAGUAUGAAUCAGUCUUGAUGCCGACGUUAAUUCAUAGGAAUUUGUCCUGCAGAAACUUUUUGUUAGUGAAAACCAGCCAAAUUCAGUUGGAAGCUUUUAGCUAUCUGCUGCUAAAAUAUACAAAUAAAAACAAACUGCUGCUGCUGAGACAAUCACUGCUGCCACAGCAACCAUAGGGUGUGUGUGAGUGUGUGUGUCCAUUCACAUAUGUGAACUGAGCCGUUACUCAGGAAUGCAGCUGUUGUUGUGAGAGGUCAAAGGUCAGGCCGCUGAGGUGAAAACUCUUCAGGUGGAAACAGGAAGCUGCCGACCAAUGGUUACCAUGGCAACCGAAGUUUAUGAGUGCUGGCUGAUAAAACUUCAACCAAACAAAGUAGAAAUAUUCACGUGAAACUUCACAAUAAAAGCAUCACGCUGACGAGGGGGCUGCAUUCCAUAUCUGCAGCUACACAUUCUUGUUCCUGCUGAGGAUUCUUCUCACUGGAAUGCUGCAUCAGUCUGAUUCCAGGAUCUGCAUCUGGAGCCCUCAGCAGACCUCCAGGUGUGCUCUGAUGUUCCCUCAGACGCAGUAUUAGAAUCCACCCAGCUCCUAAGGAAACUCUGAUUCCUCCCAGCUGGAGGGGAAACAUCCACCAACGUUUCUCCUCCUGAGUUUACAAAACUCAGCUUGUGGUCGAUGCCUUCAGCUGUAUUCAGAUGGCUUCCUGAACAGCCUCUGUUUGAAGAAGUGGAGUCUACAUCCUUCAGAUGAGCUAACGACUAGUCUGAGUGCAGCCAAAGUGUGUUACAGCCAUGUCCCCGGGGUUCAAGUGACAUCAUGGCACAGAUCUUCACACCUGGAUUAGGAGUUACCUCAGCAGCUGCUGGAGACACUGACAGAAGUCCAUGUGGAUGUGGACUUAUGAUGGGACUGAUGCAGGAAAAAAUGUGUGUGUGUGUGUGUGUGUGUUUGAUUGUGUGUGUGUGUGUGUGUGUGUUUGUGUUUGCAGUAUGCAUUUACACAGGUUGUUAAACACCUAUUUUACUUACAGUAGGUAAACCUAAACUCAGCAACUAUUUAUUCACCACAAACCUCCAGCUGAUUAAUGCAGAAAAUACUGAAACACUAAAAAUGGAAAAUUCCAAUAAAAAUGUUUAUUUAUUCUUGUUGAUAAUGAGAACACCA